AACGAACGCUGGCGGCAUGCCUAACACAUGCAAGUCGAACGAGACCUUCGGGCCUAGUUGCGCACGGGUGCGUAACGCGUGGGAAGCUGCCCUUAGGUUCCGAAUAACUCCCCGAAAGGUGUGCUAAUACCGGAUAAUCUCUUCGGACCAAAGAUUUAUCGCCUUUGGAUGGGCCCGCGUUGGAUUAGCUAGUUGGUAGGGUAAAAGCGGACCAAGACGACGAUCCAUAGCUGGUCUGUGAGGAGGAACAGCCAGACUGGGACUGGGACACGGCUCAGACGCCAACGAGAGGCAGCAGAGGGGAAUAAAGGACAGGGAGCGAGAGGCAGAAACGGCGCGGGCGCGAUAGUGAUGAAGGCGUUAGGGUCGGAAAUCGCUUUUACCCGAGAUGGUAAGAAGAUAACGGGGAGAAUAGGCCCCGGCUAACACCGU
Molecule: ribosomal RNA, 432 nt
Filed under: uncultured bacterium
Lineage: Bacteria
Description: partial 16S ribosomal RNA
Rfam family: Bacterial small subunit ribosomal RNA
Source: RNAcentral